ACAGGGAUUGCCUCAGUAACGGCGAGUGAAGCGGCAACAGCUCAAAUUUGAAAUCUGGCCCCCUCGGGGUCCGAGUUGUAAUUUGCAGAGGGAGCUUUUGGCGUCGGUCGUGGUCUAAGUUCCUUGGAACAGGACGUCACAGAGGGUGAGAAUCCCGUACGUGGCCGCCGGCCUUCGCCUUGUAAAGCCCCUUCGACGAGUCGAGUUGUUUGGGAAUGCAGCUCUAAAUGGGAGGUAAAUUUCUUCUAAAGCUAAAUACCCGCCAGAGACCGAUAGCGCACAAGUAGAGUGAUCGAAAGAUGAAAAGCACUUUGGAAAGAGAGUGAAAAAGCACGUGAAAUUGUUGAAAGGGAAGCGCUUGCGGCCAGACGUGCGCGCGGUUGAUCAUCCGGGCUCCAGCCCGGUGCACUCCUCCGCGCGCAGGCCAGCAUCAGUUCGGGCGGUCGGAUAAAGGCCUCUGUCACGUACCACCCCCCGGGGUGGCCUUAUAGGGGAGGCGCAACACGGCCAGCCUGGACUGAGGUUCCGCGCAUCUGCUAGGAUGCUGGCGUAAUGGCAGCAAGCGGCCCGUCUUGAAACACGGACCAAGGAGUCUAACAUCUAUGCGAGUGUUUGGGUGUCAAGCCCGAGCGCGCAAUGAAAGUGAACGGAGGUGGGAACCCUUACCGGUGCACCAUCGACCGAUCCUGAUGUCUUCGGAUGGAUUUGAGUAAAGCAUAGCUGUUGGGACCCGAAAGAUGGUGAACUAUGCCUGAAUAGGGUGAAGCCAGAGGAAACUCUGGUGGAGGCUCGCAGCGGUUCUGACGUGCAAAUCGAUCGUCAAAUUGGGCAUAGGGCGA
Molecule: ribosomal RNA, 839 nt
Filed under: Torula luguhuensis
Lineage: Eukaryota; Fungi; Ascomycota; Dothideomycetes; Pleosporales; Torulaceae
Description: Torula sp. SL-2023b partial large subunit ribosomal RNA
Rfam family: Eukaryotic large subunit ribosomal RNA
Source: RNAcentral